UGUUCACCUAUUCUCUUCAUACAUUAAUAUGAUGAAGAGGAGCUUCCUCAGUGUCAUUUUGUAAACAUCUUGUGUCCCUUGAACUGGCUGGCUUGCUUUCAGCCUCAGUCAAAUGAAAGAUUUGCUUUUCUGUGUGUGCAGAACUGGAAGUCUUUUCUUUCUUUCUCCCUGGCAGAACCUGAAGCGUUGAACACCUCUCCACUACCACUGAUGUACUUCUGCUAAAAAUGAUGCUUGAGAAGUCGUCGAAAACAUACAUCAGAACAGAGGAGUUCACCACUCACAAGGGACCCACACAAGGAUAAUACCGAUGAUAACCUGCAUCCUCUUUAUAUGUGAAAAUGUCACCUUACAAAGGCAGGCAGGCAAAAUGGCAAGAAUCUGAAGAACCUAAGAGCCCUCUUACAGCACCAGAAACUCUUCCACCAGCAUGGCCCUCCUCCUAUCAUCACUAGGACACUUCUGACUAGUGGGGAAAGGGUGUUUGUCAAAGUACUAUCAAAAAAUUGACUGUACGUCUUUCCAGUGAUGCUACUAGUUAAAUCAUAUGUGUAUUUCCUGCUAAAACCCAAGACAAUUUCAGGUACAGAUUCCUAAAGGAAAAAAAAAAAAGUGCUAAUCUUGCAAUAGGAG
RNAcentral lists this long non-coding RNA (633 nucleotides) under Anser brachyrhynchus (Pink-footed goose). RNAcentral describes it as "lncRNA (ENSABRG00000003952.1)". Lineage: Eukaryota; Metazoa; Chordata; Aves; Anseriformes; Anatidae. The record is from RNAcentral.